AAAUUGAAGAGUUUGAUCAUGGCUCAGAUUGAACGCUGGCGGCAGGCCUAACACAUGCAAGUCGAACGGUAACAGGAAACAGCUUGCUGUUUCGCUGACGAGUGGCGGACGGGUGAGUAAUGUCUGGGAAACUGCCUGAUGGAGGGGGAUAACUACUGGAAACGGUAGCUAAUACCGCAUAAUGUCGCAAGACUAAAGAGGGGGACCUUCGGGCCUCUUGCCAUCGGAUGUGCCCAGAUGGGAUUAGCUAGUAGGUGGGGUAACGGCUCACCUAGGCGACGAUCCCUAGCUGGUCUGAGAGGAUGACCAGCCACACUGGAACUGAGACACGGUCCAGACUCCUACGGGAGGCAGCA
RNAcentral lists this ribosomal RNA (356 nucleotides) under Shigella sonnei. RNAcentral describes it as "bacterial SSU rRNA". It matches the Rfam family "Bacterial small subunit ribosomal RNA", at positions 1 to 353 of the family's 1533-position model. Lineage: Bacteria; Pseudomonadati; Pseudomonadota; Gammaproteobacteria; Enterobacterales; Enterobacteriaceae. The record is from RNAcentral.